GACGAACGCUGGCGGCGUGCUUAACACAUGCAAGUCGAACGGUGAAGGGACCGGUUUUUGCUGGUUCUGGAUGAGUGGCGAACGGGUGAGUAACACGUGAGUAACCUGCCCCCUUCUUCUGGAUAACCGCAUGAAAGUGUGGCUAAUACGGGAUAUUCUGCGCCUGCUGCAUGGUGGGUGUGGGAAAGAUAUUGUUUCGGUGGGGGAUGGGCUCGCGGCCUAUCAGCUUGUUGGUGGGGUGAUGGCCUACCAAGGCGGUGACGGGUAGCCGGCCUGAGAGGGUGGACGGUCACACUGGGACUGAGACACGGCCCAGACUCCUACGGGAGGCAGCAGUGGGGAAUAUGGCACAAUGGGCGCAAGCCUGAUGCAGCGACGCCGCGUGAGGGAUGGAGGCCUUCGGGUUGUAAACCUCUUUCGCCAGUGAAGCAGGCCUGUCCCUUUUGUGGGUGGGUUGACGGUAGCUGGAGAAGAAGCGCCGGCUAACUACGUG
This 493-nucleotide ribosomal RNA is filed under the name uncultured bacterium. Its description in RNAcentral is "partial 16S ribosomal RNA". It matches the Rfam family "Bacterial small subunit ribosomal RNA", at positions 28 to 507 of the family's 1533-position model. The record is from RNAcentral.